Molecule: long non-coding RNA, 630 nt
Filed under: Heterocephalus glaber (naked mole-rat)
Lineage: Eukaryota; Metazoa; Chordata; Mammalia; Rodentia; Bathyergidae
Description: lncRNA (ENSHGLG00000048056.1)
Source: RNAcentral
UUUUUCCAUGUUUCUGGCCAUUGCAGUGUGGCUCUGAUGGGUAGUGUUGUGUUCCAGUUUUAGCUAGGGUUAGGGUUUGGGUUGGGGUGAUAGGUAGCAUUGAAAUUGAAAUGCCUGUGUCUUCAAGUGUGGGUUUGAAAGUGAGUACUAGCGUAAGUUCAUGGUGAGGGUUAGGUGUAAUGUAGAAUUUCAAGUCCCUGGGUAUUGGAAUGCGGUCCUGCUGCGUAGAUUUAGGGUUAGGAUUACUUUUAGGUUUAGGGUUCCAAUGCAUGUACCUGAGGUUUGGAGUGUGGGUAUGAGUUUUAGGUUUAGGGAUCCUCUGUUGGGAAAUGUCAGAUAGUGCAGAAGCCCAGGUCCCUGAAAAUCACUUCUGGACAAUACGGUUUGUGUCCGAAUUCAGCUGACAGUUAGGGAUGGCACGUGGAUCAAGUACCUGGUUAUUGUAGUGUGAGUAAGAUUGUUCGUGUUAGGAUUAUUGUUAGGUAAGAUAUAGUGUAAUUUUACAUGUUCCUGGACUUUGCAGUGUGUCUCUGAUGGGUAGUUGUAGGGUUAGCGAUGUAGCUAGGGUUAGGCUUAGGUUUGGGGUCCUGAACAGCGUUGCCAUUGAAAUGCCUGUGUCUUCCAGUGUGG